RNA transcript from Acinonyx jubatus (cheetah), 17785 nucleotides. It is a transcript of the gene named unc-13 homolog B, with no coding region annotated. Lineage: Eukaryota; Metazoa; Chordata; Mammalia; Carnivora; Felidae. The record is from RefSeq and is a predicted model, not a curated record. The transcript is spliced from 31 exons.
ACUCUAAAUAUUUACUGUAUGGUCCUUUAUAGAUGAAGUUUGCUGGUCUCUGCUCUAGAUAGUGCCCAGUACUAAAAUUGCAAGUACUAAAACUGUACACCCAGUAAUUUCUUUUCCUUGUUUGCAAGUCUUGGAUAAUUUUUUCCAAUAGAGAGAAACACACAUCCUUUCCCUCACGAAGGUUAUAUGUUUGCUAAGUUCCUCACACCCCAACUUAUUAAGCAUUUAAACAAUUCUGAAACCUCCAGGUUACAUGUGCAAACAACCCACUUCUUCCUCUUAACUAUAAUCAUAGUACUAUUCACAGUCUGUUUAUCCCCAGACUGCAUUCUUUGAAGGAAUGUCUUGUUCCGCUUUGUACCUGUAGCACUAUGUGUAGUAUUUGGUGGAUGCUCAAUAAAUUUUUCUUGAAUGCAUUAACACCUAUAUCUCUGGUAUGGCCUCCUCUCCUGAUGUUUAUCCAUUUGUAUAAGAUUACAGUGUUAUUCAUAAAUAUUAAGUAAUUACUUGAUAGUGAUGAAUAAACUGAUUUAUUAGAGUUCAUUGAAUUGUUUGGCAUUCUGAUUUUCAGAUUUCACUACUUAGAUAAUCCUGUACAAAUCCUUGCACACAUUAUCUCCCAUUCAUUUGAAUUAUUUUCAUGGAAUAUAUUCCCACAGUGGAAUUUUAUUCAUUUGACAGUAUGAAUAUGCCAGGCUAGGGGCGCCUGGCUGACUCAGUCAGAAGAGCAUGUGACUCUUGAUCUCAGUGUUGUGAGUUUGAGCCCCACGUUGGGUGUAGAGAUUACUUAAAAAUAAAAUCUUUAAAAAAACAACCCCCACCCCCAAAUAUGCCAGGCUAAGUCAUGAAUUUUAAGCAUGGGAAUAACAUUUCUACUCUAGGUUUGCUGCUUUGGAAUUUAUAACUUCUCUGACUCUUCUGAGCUCCCUCUUAUGAACUUUCACCUUAUUCUUUCAUGUUCCCUUUAUUUAUUUUUUAAAAUAUUUUAUUUAUUUUUGGGAGAGAGAACACAAGCAAGGGAGGAGCAGAGAGAGAAGGGGACAGAGGAUCCAAAGCAGGCUCCAUGCUGACAGCAGCAAGCCUGAUGUGGUGCUCAAAGUCAUGAACUGUGAAAUCAUGACCUGAGCCAAAGUCGGAUGCUCAACCCACUGAGCUACCCAGGUGCCCCUCCAUUCUGCCUUUAUUUUAUUUUAUUUUAUUUUUCCAUUCUCCCUUUAAAACGUCCAGUUACCUCUAUACAAAUUGAAGAUGAGUUCAGUUUGUGUUAGACUAUUUUCCCUAUUGCAAUAGUAUAUUACUGAUUGAAUCUGUCCUAAUCACUUGACUAAUGUCCAGGUUUUUUUUUCAUCUUUGACAACAACCAAACCUUAAAACAUUCUCAUUCAUGAAUUCAUUUAUGUAUUUGAUUAGUCAAGAAAUCUUUUUUGGACACCUUUACCAGGUGUGCUAUGUGUUAUGUGUUAGGGAUAAAGACACAGAAAAUACAUCCUUUGCUGUUGAGGAGCUCUGUGUCUAAAGAAAGGAUAGGUAUGCAAUUACUCUUCAAUGAGAUAAGAUCUAUACUGGAACACUAUACAGGUGAUUUGUUUAUUUUCCUGUUUUCCCUCUCUGACCAGUCCUUUUCUGUCUCUUUUUCCUACUCCUUAAAAGUAGGUGUUCUCUAUAAAUGACCUUUGUUCCUUUCUCAUUCUAUAUAGUCUCCUGACAACCAUAGGGCUCCAACUCUCAGAUUCUUUGCAGCUUACUCCUAAAUGCCAGUACAGAUUCAAUGUGUCCAUUUCCUGAUUUGUUCAUGCAACUUACUCUCUGUAUAUGAAAUACCCUUUCUUCCACAUUUGCAUGUUCAGGUUUAUCCAUGCUUUGAGAUCCAUCUCCUCCACAUGCUACUUCUCUUGUGAAGCUUAUUUUGAUUCCUUUCACAGCUUCUGCUGAAUUCCUCUACUAUUUGAGGGGCAAUAUAGCAUUAUGGCUAACGGCUUGAGUUCUGGUGAAAGCUGCAGCUGGGCUGCAUUCCAGUUUUGCUUCAUUUUCUUUAUAAAAAAUGGAGAUUAAAGUAGUUACAUUUUUAUUGAUUGAAAUCUCUGUCUCUAGCUUGGACUGAUUGCUUAGGGUUCAGUUCCACAUCAUCUAAUGCAUUUAUUUGUAAGAAUAUACCACACAAUCUCAAACUUAAUGUAUGUGUUCAAAAGGAAACAUCUUUCCCCAGAACCUAUGCAUCCUUGAUUUCCUAUCUAUCAGUAAAAACUGUAGCACCAUCCUUCCAGUCAACCUGACUUUAAAACUCUCUCCCUGUCUCCCCCUGCCUUCUCAUCCAAUGGUUUGCUACUAAAGAAAGGAUAUUCUUUACUGUAUUCAUAGUCAUUGUGUGCCAAAUUCUAUCACAUUAGUUCCGUAACACUGAGAAGUGUUAAAGGGAUUGUCCCUUUUCUUCCCCCUCAGUUCCAUAUUUACUGCCCUAGUUUAGAUCCUUAUUCUUUCACAGACCUUUCCUGUCACCUUAUAAACUAUUUAAGGAUAGUAACUUUGUUAGGAAUAGUAAACAAAGGAUAGUGCUUUGUUUACUUUUUCCUUUCAUUAAGACUGAGCUAAAAAACAAUAAAUAUUUGUUAAUUUAGUUAUUUAUAUUAAAUUUCUCUAUGGAGGCAUUGGGAGACAUUUCCCAAGGGAUAAGGAACUUGAGGAAAGAGUAAACUUUUAAUGACCUUGUUGAAUAGCUUAAAGAUAGUCAUAAAGUUGGUAGAGGGAACCCCUGCAUCAGGGUUCUUACCCAGUCCCCUUUUCUCUCCUGCCUGAGGCCUCCCAAAGAGGCAGCAACAAUGCCAAACCUGGGUGUUUUGGUCUUACCCUCUUGAGAUUCUUACGUUCUCUUCACUACCUACUUUCCUGGAUCCCUCUCACCUUCCCUCUCAUUUACUGGAUUUUAGAGUCUUAGCUCUCAGCUACCUGCCAGCUAAACACAAGUGUAAACUCCAAAUGCUGGAGAACUUUCAAGUACUGUACUUGGAAACACUAAUGAAGACUGAAGCAUGGAGGACUGGCUUUCUAUCCCUGUUUGAGUUGCUUCUGAAGAUACACUUACCUUGCUGAUGAGUAUAAAUGGUCCUGGUCAAGUGUCUAGAGGGCAAGAAGACCUCAUUGCCUUUUUCCUCUGAACUUUAAACUGGGAAACUGGGAUGCCUCAGAGCUUUCAUCACAACCUUUAGACAGUGACCCUUGCUCUGCUUACCUUCUCUUUACCUCCCAGCCACAUUCCUCCCUUUGUAUCCACAGCCUAAGUAAUAACAAACAUGUAUUGGACAUGCAUCAGGUAAUUUAAAUGCAGUUCCUCGUUUAAGCCUGGAAACUAUCUUAUAAAGUAGUUACUAUCAUUAUUCUUUGGGAAAUUGAGGUCAUGUAGCUUGCCCAAGGUAACAAGUAUCAGAGCUAGGACUCAAAUCUAGGUAUGGUAUGCAGAUUUCUGAGAUGGUUCCCCAAAGAUGGCUGCCCCAAUGAGGCAGCUCCUGGUGAUAUUCAUUUCCUUGUGUAAUCUUCUUCCCUAAAAUGUGACUUGCUUCUGAUGAAUAGAAUACAGCAAAAACUAGGGGAAGUCACUUCUGUGAUUAUGUUAAGAAGACUGUAACUUCCAUCUUGCUAGCAGACUCUAUUGCUUUCUCAGUUUGAAUGCUUCGAUGAAGCAAGCAGCCAUCUUGUCUCAGACAAGGAACUGAGACAAGCCAAUAGCCAAUAAGGAACUGAGGCUUUCAGUUCAAUAGCUGAAGAGAAAUUGAGUCCUGCUAACAGUCACAUGAAUGAGCUUGAUAGUGGAUCCUGUUGCAAUCAAGCUGGCGCUUUGAUAGCAGUCUGUAAAAAAACCUGAACCAGAGGACCCAAUCUAGCCCUACUCAGAUUCUUGACCCAGAAACUAUAAGAUAAUAAAUGUUUAAGCCAUUACAUUUUGGAGUAGUUUAUUACAUGACAAUAGAUGAUACACCAGGUGGAUCUGACUGGCUUCAAAGUUCAUGCGCUUCACAAUUUUACAAAGGACAGCUGGGCUAAAUAGCUAGGUAGUUCAACCUCCAGCAGCCCAGAGAAUGCCCAUUAUUUUUAUGGUCAGCAUCUGUGUUGAGUGGGCUGGCUGAGUGCCCUGGUCAAAAUCUUCCUCAGGAUUAUUAUUCCAAAUUUGGAUGAGCACUGGGAAGAUCAAGUCGUCUUCUUUAGGCUCUUGCUAUAGCAUUUGGAGGGUCACUUUCUCAUAGCAACUUUUCCAGUGAGAAAAAUCAUCUGAUAGGUUUGUUUUUGGAGGGCAAAGACCAUGUUAGAUUGACGGACACUCCCUGAGUCUAGCAGGCAGAAUCCUAUGGGACCAAGAACUUGCAAAUGCUGACACCCAAGCUGGGCUACUGAAACCUUAGAAAGCAUGUCCUCUAAUGAUGCUCAGCCCUGGCAUCACAUUAGAAUCACCUGGGGAGCUUUUAAAAAUAGUUUGAGAGUUACCCCAAACCAAUUGAAUCAGAACUGUGGCAUGGAGGGGGUGUUGGAUCUGUACAUUAUACUACGGGUCUUCAUGUUUUCUGCUCUGGUCUUUUUCACUUCCUCAUAUGUGCAUAUGUCAUCUUACCAGAAGUCGUAGCUUAAAAUGCCUAUUUUCCCUUUAUCCUUCAUUCAGUAAAUAUUACGGACUGAUUUCUAUGUCCCAAGUACUAUUAUAGACAUUGGAGAUACAAUAGCAUGCAGGAAAAAAAGGUCUAGGGGGGCCUGGGUGCCUCAGGUGGUUAAACGUCUAACUCUUGAUUUCGGUUCAGGCUAUGAUCUCACAGUUCCUGAGUUCCAGCCCCUUGUGGGGCUCUGUGCUGAUGGUGAGGAGCCUGCUUGGGAUUCUCUCUCUCUCCUCUCUCUGUCCCUGCCCUGCUUGUGCAUUCUCUCUCAAAAUAAAUAAACUUAAAAGGAAACAAGAUCUAGAUAAGAACUGACGUCUCCAAGGGGUGCCUGGGUGGCUUGGUUAAGCUUCCCAUUCUUGGUUUUGGCUCAGGUCAUGAUCUCAUGGUUGGUGAGUUGGAGCCCCAAAUCUGGCUUGCUGCUGUCAGUGCAGAGCCCGCUUUGGCUCCUCUUCCCCCCCCCCCUUCAAAAAUAAAUAAAACAAACAGAAUUGAAGUCUCCAAACAUUUUACUUUAUGCUCACUCAGUUAUUUUCCUUUGUUUUUUCUGUAGUUGGUAAUUAAAACCUGCCCGUGGUACGAUCUUGUUAAAUUACCAUAAGUAGGUGCUCGGUGGGCUCCAAUGGCUAGACUCUUUAAAGAAGUCCGAUGAAAAUUCUUCAAUCAAAAGAAUCUUGGGUGGGAGCUCUGUCCACGCGGGAGGAGCAGAGGGCUUCAGUUAUCUCCUGACACAGGUGUGGGGAAGCCCCUCCCUCUCAGUGCCAAGCCUUAUUAGAGGGAGGAGCUGUCUUCUUGCACGUAGGGAAAGAGGAAGGAAACCCCACCUCUUAUGGGCUUAUGGGAGGAGGGGUCGGCGGACUAGGCGUGAGUUGAUUGGCUGAGAGGCGGAGCGCCACGGGUUGGCUCCUUCUAGGAGCUCUCCCGGAGCCCUGUGGGGUGAAGCCGGGGUGGGAGAGAGUCCCGGUAGCUCCUGCCUCCUAGCGAUGGCGCCGUGGUGCCGCGCCCAGUCUCCUGCCUGCUUGCCCGUACUCACAGCUAUCGGGAGUGCGGUCAGACGUUGAGAAUUGAAGCGGGUUCAAGGGAGCGGCGGGACGCUGCCUGCCACGGGGACCAUGUGGAGAGGUCAGACCUGUGGGGCCGAUUACGGGAACAGCCGCGGCACCUGCUGAGAGGAAAGAGGGAGCUGCCGGGUGCGGCGGCGACUUGCCAGCGCCUCGGCCAUGUCGCUGCUCUGUGUGCGCGUUAAAAGAGCCAAAUUCCAGGGUUCACCAGAUAAAUUUAACACCUAUGUGACCCUGAAAGUGCAGAAUGUGAAGAGCACAACUGUAGCAGUUCGUGGUGAUCAACCUUCUUGGGAACAAGAUUUUAUGUUUGAGAUUAGUCGCCUGGACCUGGGUCUGAGUGUGGAGGUAUGGAACAAAGGACUGAUCUGGGACACCAUGGUGGGGACCGUGUGGAUUGCACUGAAGACAGUUCGUCAGUCGGAUGAGGAAGGGCCUGGAGAGUGGUCCACGUUGGAGGCAGAGACACUGAUGAAAGAUGAUGAGAUAUGUGGAACUAAAAACCCAACUCCUCAUAAGAUUUUGCUUGAUACAAGAUUUGAGCUGCCUUUUGAUAUCCCAGAGGAGGAGGCCAGAUACUGGACUUACAAAUUGGAGCAAAUCAAUGUCUUGGGAGCUGACAGUGAGUAUUAUAUUCAAGAAGAAAGCCAGAGGAAGCCAUUACCCACUGCUGCCGCCCAGUGUUGUCACUGGACCUAUUUGGGCUGGGGAGAGCAGCAGACUUUUGAAGAUCCUGACAGUGCCGUUGAUGACCGAGAUAGUGACUAUCGUAGUGAGACCAGCAAUAGCAUCCCACCUCCUUACCAUACGACUUCCCAGCCCAAUGCUUCUGUGCACCAGUUUCCUGUGCCUGUGCCAUUGCCACAGCAGCUGCUACUUCAGGGCAGUUCCCGGGAUUCUUGCAAUGACUCUAUGCAAAGUUAUGAUCUUGAUUAUCCAGAGCGGAGGGCCCUCAGACAAGACUUGCAGGCUAAGAAUGACAAAAUUAGGAUUAUUUCAGCUUUCUCUGAUGUUGACUAUGAAGAGCAAGAAGGUACAUAUGAGGAGAUAGAGGGGGAAAUACCACAAGAGUUUCUAGAAAACAGUAACAUAAAGGAAGCAAAAGUAAAAGAAAUUAGAACUCUUUCAAAAACUGAUAAAUCUUACAGCCGUCAAGAACAACAGAAGUACAAGAAUUGGGAAAAGAUACCAUCACAGGGCCAAGAAACUGAAUUCUCUACUGCCUUUAAUUUUGACCUUAAGUAUGAAACAUCUGUGUUCUCCAGUUAUGCUCAGAAAUAUGAUACAGUAGAUAGGAGAAGAAAAAAUAAACCCUUAUACCGUGAUUUUGAACACAGUCAAAGAACACAGUACAAUGAAAGAUCAGAAACUAAGACUGACUUCAAAAGUACAUAUCCUGACACUGAAAAUUGUAACAUUUGCCACACUGAAAAGAAGAAACAAAAUUACCCAAUUUUGCACCCUUAUAAAAACGGCUUUGUGGUCAAGAGUGGCAUCUGGACCACCAAGUUGGAAAAUCAUGAUUACGAUCUUUCUGGUGAUUACAAGAACUGUGAAAAAUCAUCUGGCUUAAACCAGCAUGUCACUAAUUUCACUCCAUUAGAUAUUCUUGAAGAUUCUACUAGUAGUACUUCUGAGGAACUUCUGAGCUCUCCUCUCACUGAUAAGCCAGAAGGUUUACUGUCACCAAUAAGUCAUCCAUCCAAUAUCCAUCAUAGUGGAGGCUUUCCUGAAGAAUACAAUGUAACAAAUCCAGCAUUCCCAUUACAAAAGAUGAACUGUGAUGCAAACACACUUGGAGAUCUGUCUGGGUGCCCCAUGGAAGAGAUGACCCCUCCCUCUCUUGAGGAACCCAAGGAGGACUAUGUUGAUACAAUGGAUGAGCUUCAGUGUUUGGUAGAAACUGUGUCAGAAUAUUUAGCAGAGAAAGAAGAGGAGAUUAAUGGAUUUGGUUCCCUUUCACGAACUGAAAAAUCACUUAAACACAAUAGUACUGGUAAUAAUGCAGAACAGAAAAUGCUUGGAGAUCAAAUACCACCUUUAACCAUUGUAAAGAAUGACAAGGACAAGGCUGUCUCUUUCCCUGAGCUGAAUGGAGUGAAAUGUGCUGUUGGUUCUUUGUUCAGUUCACUUACAGAAAAGGUAGGUUCGGGAACAAAGCAUCUAACAACCUCUGUGGAAAAGCUGGUUUAUUUAGUUCCAGAGAAAACAGAAACUCUUGAUCAGAUAGAGACGACUAAUUCAGGAUCUAAACCCAGAGCCAAGUCUGUAUUGGGGAAGGAUCUUUCCAUGCGAUCUCCAUUAUCCUCUCACACAGUUGAUAAUAAAGAUUUUGGCAGAAAUGACAAAACUUCUGAAAAUGAGCACACAGGUGGUAAAACUGGAAAUUUAAGCCUUCAGGAUGCAACAGAGACUACUGGAAGGGACUCCACUCCACAGAGUCAGAGUUCAGUUAUAAAGUCUGUUUUCAGCAUGUUAAAUCCAUUAAAGAUCUUUUCCGAAAAGGAUGAAACCAAAAAAGAUGACCAGAACAAGCCAACAAGAAAGGAAAGCUUUGUUGGGUGUGGUUCAGAGUCAAAUCAAAGGAAAGACGCCCUUGGCAAUGACAAUAAAAUCAUCACUUUAGAUAGGCAUGAUGGAGAAACUACAAGCUCAUCCCAAAUGCCCACAAGUGAAGAUUUGUUGUCUUCCCAAGUGACCAAUGAACCUUCAAGCUUAGGUGGUUCUGCAAAUAAAAAAGAUGAUAUUGAGAGUCUCUUGGAAAGAAAACCCUGUACAGAUUUGUCUCUGGUACCACAUCAACCAAAAAUAUGUGCCCCAAACACGGUAGGACAUCCUUGUAUAGCUGGCAGUACAACUGCAAAUAGAGAGUCUUCUUCAAAGACAGUAGAGGGGGAGAAAGUUACUGGUGAUGAUGAUUUUCUUGAGCCACUCAGAAAAUCCUUUAGCCAGUUUUUGCUCACUUCACCUGAGACCUGUUCAAAGGAAACUUUGUCAGAAUCUAUGAAAAUUCACCAGUUGGAGGAAGAUGGAUGGGAAAGGGGCCAUAAGAAAAAUGGACAUUCCUUUUCCUUUAAUAGAAAACUACAUAUUCCAUUUUUCAGAGUUCUUAGUCAUUCUGAGAAACAGCAAGAUUUAAGAGAGAAAGGAAGCAUUUUUCCUCUUUUUAAAUUUCCUUUCACUGAUGGUCGUACCACUGUCAAUGACCAGAGUUUUCCUGACUCAGCAGUAACUGUUGAUGAAGAGAUCCAAAGAAACUGCCAUGAAAAUGCCAAACUUAAUUUAAUAAAAUCUAGUUCAGUUCCAAAUAUUCAUAAUAAUUUAGGGAAACCUGGUGAUACAGAAACAUUUAAUAAAAAUGACCAAAUAAAUUGUCCUGAAGAUACCACACUUAAUAGAAUAAAGUCUAAUUCUGUUCCAAUUAUUAAUAACGAUCUUGGGAAAUUUGGGAAUAUAGAGAAAUUGAAUUCAAGUGAUCACACAGCAGCAGAGAACUGUCAGAUAGAUACUUUAGCCAUCCCUGAAGUUGUGUCCAAAGAAUAUAUUCCUUCAGAUUCUUCAGAAGAAAGUAAGACUCUUACACAAGUGACAUCUUUAACAGUAUCAGACUCAUUAACAUUUACUUCUACCAUUUCAAAAUCCACCUUGGUUAAUGAAAUUAAUGAAGACAGACUUGUAGAUAAAGCCUCUAAGAAAAGAAUCCAAGGAGGCCUCCUUUCUGGCCUAUUUAACAGGUUUUCUUCUCUUGAAAACUUGUCUAAUCAGCAAGAAUUAAAUUUGAAAAGUGGUGACUCUCAUCAUAAUAAUAAUACUCCAGGAUUACUCUCUGGAAUAUUUAACUUGAUACACAAUAACAAUGUGACUGAUUGUAAACCAGAUGAGGCAAAGUCCAUGUCUUUAGGCAAUAUAAAAAGUUUGAAUGGAAAUAAACAUUUAUCUGUGGAUGAGAUCCCUGUUACUUCAUGUGUGACUUCUGAGAAUCAGAGGAACCAUGUUGAUAAAGAAGAAACAUCUGGCUUAAUAAAAAACUUUAUAUCUUUACCUAAAGAAAACAUACCAUUAUCUGAUGCUUGGGUUGAUAAUGAUCAUUGCUCUCCUAUGUGGAAAAACCAGCUAAGUGAAAAGAAUUGCCCCUCUUCUGAGGACAGGAUACUUGACUUUGCUCCGAGCACUCAGCAGGGCCUCUUAGAGAAAUCUUUGGCUGAGAGGCUGACACCACACCAUGUUCUUAAGGAGAAAAUACAUGAAAAUUCAAACAAGUUAAACCCACAUACAUUAAAUACUAACAUUCUUAAUAAAUCAAACCACUAUCAGGCUUUUGAAGAGAUGAAUAAUCCUUUCUGUUCUGAAUGGGACUCUGAUAUAAAAGAUUUCUCUAAAAAUUCCAGAAAACUUCAGCCAGUUUAUUAUAUGCUAAAUCAAAAUACAUUCCCAUCAGCUGAUGUUUUCUUGUGGCCUGACUCAGAAAGCUCAGCAAUAAAUUUUUGCCAAAAGGAUCAAACUGCAAAUAUCUUGGAGUGGAAAACAAAUCCAAACAGUGUCAUUUGGCGUGACUUACCAUAUGAAUCAUUGGACCAGUUAGCAUUUAAUGAAGAUAACUUAUUAAGAAGUGAUAUGUGGGCAGCUCACUCAUUUUAUGGAAAUUCAUAUCUUCCAAUUAGUGAGACUAUGAAUUCACUAGAAGAAUUGCCCAUUGACUUAAGUUGUUCUUCAGGUUAUGAGAAGACUACAUAUUCUGUAGUUGAUCAAGAAUCAUUAAGAAUGGAUGAAAACUUUGUUUUUUCAAGUGUCAGUUAUGACUACCAGGAAUGGUGGUCAUGUCUUGAAAAUGGAGUGUGGUGGCCAUCAGAGAAUGGAGAUUAUGGAUAUUAUAUGUUUCAUGAUGGUCAGUAUAUGUACUAUCUCCUCACUGAUUCUACUGGGCAGUAUGCCUAUUUGUUUAUACCUGAUUGUUCUUAUCAAGAAUAUUUGAAUUGUGAUUUACAAACAAAUGAUCUAUCAAGUAUUAUGUUGGAUGACAGCAUUAUAUCAGCCUGUAGUUUUAAAGUACAUGACAAGGAAGAUGAACUAUCCUGGUAUGUUGAAGAGGAACCAAUUGAUGACCCUCUUGAUUUAUCUGUAGUUUUGCCAAAAAGUGAGGGACCAGUGUAUCUAAAUUUAGGAACCUUUUCACAAGUACUUGAACAGUCAAGUUAUGGCCAAAAGGAUCAACCAUUAGAUUUUUCAGGCUAUAAUCUUCAAAAGUUUAAAGGAAAUUUUAGAUCUUUUGAAGAAGUGGUGUGUAGUUCUGAAGACUUUGAAUAUAUAUUGGAUCUCAGAAAUCAGCCCCAAACUAUUGAUAAUCAUGACUUAAAUAAAAAUCUUGUUAUAGAGAGAAGUAAGUAUCAGCUUCUUGCUAAGGAUGCAUCAAUUUACCCUUCCAGUUUCCAUUGGAUUCAGUCUUCUGAAGAAGCUACCUCUUUGGUUCAUUUUGAAGAUAUGACUAAUAGCCUACAGCAAACAGGAGAGAUGUCAUCAAUGAAAAAAGGAACCUCAUUAUUUUCUGCUUUGGGUGCUUUGGUUACAAGGACUUUGAAUUUUGAUGAGAAUGAAUCCUUAGAGUCUUUGGUUUUAAAGAAAAUGAAUCAGGAGUCAGACUUAGCAGAGCUCACAAAUGGUGGUGUUCAGUCAUUAAUCUUGAAUGAGCAAUUAGAGAAUAACUCCCAAAAUGAAGAAGGUCUUCUCAAGAAGGAUUUAGAAAGAAAAACAGUACCCAAUGUUCUGCAACCAGAAUUUAAAAAUAUGAAGCAAGAAUUCCCUUUAAAUAAAAGUAUUCAUGUGAAAAAACAAAGUUUGUUAAAAUCUGUUGUCCAGGUAAGCCAAAUAACUCCUCAGGCUAAAGCAGAUAUAGAAAAUGAGGAAAUCAUUACAGUUGACUCUGUUUCCAUUCCUCUUACAUCACAAUUCAGUAAGGAUGAACCCAAGAACUGUGAGCUUCUCCAUGACCAGUCUUCCAAAGAGUCUGAGAGAACAUUAUUUAAAAGUGCAUUGAAACUCUUUGGCCGGGGAGAAGACCCUUCAGUAAGUGUGGUGUCAAAUGGAAAACGGGCAUCUGGAUUUUUGAACCUUUUUAAAACCCAGGCAAAUAAAGAAGGAUCACCAAAUUUAGAAAAGAAUGAAGAUAAAAAUAUACCUUCUCAGCAAAAGAAUGAAUCUUCUGGUGUUUCAAAUUUUUUUGGUACCCUUGGGGACUUAUUUAAAACCAAUGUAUCUUCUAUACAGACAACUGAAAAUAUGUCUGUUUCCUCAAUGGUUAAUAAGGAUGAAGUCAAAUCAAGUCCUAAUCCUGCACAGCUAAAUAGCCAGGAUGUUGGGAACUUUUCUGCUAUGCCAGUUGCCUCUAAAAGGAAGGUUCAAGUUAGGAGUCUGAACAAGCAGAUUACUAUUGAUGACAGUGGGCUAAAAGAACCAUCAACUGUAGAUAUACAGAGUAAUAAUUUGACUGGAAAAGAGGUAUCUUCCAGAGACCACCUAAUCCAGCAAUCACCAAAUCCAUCGUUCUCAAGAAAUUGUCUCAAAGAGUCUUCCAGAGAUUCUUCAAUAGAAACUAACGUUGUGUCUACAGUGACAGAAGUUUCAGGAAGUAGUAAACUGUCUGUUGAUAUUCUGAGCAGAAGAAAUUCAAAUGAACAGGAUCAUUCUUCUGACCAAGACUGGAGUUUUUCAACUGCCACAACAUCUCCAUCUCAACCAGGGUUGCCAACCAGAAAGAGUAUAUUUUCUUUCCUGACUGGAUCUGAAAAAUCUGAGAACAGAGCCUCUGCUGCUCUACCAAGAACCAAAUCUCAAGCAGAAAGGCUAUUCACACUUCCUUCCUUUUUUUCCACUACUAACUCAAGCAGCAAGAAGGAUGCUGCUCAUAAUAGCCCUUUUAGUUUCUUCAGCUUGUCCUUUUUGGACGAAAAGCAGCAGACUCCUGGGGAAAAACAUAGCCUUUCAACAGUUGCUCCAGUGACUUCUCAGCCCUGUAAGAAGCCAAGUGUUUUUGUAGACAUGAGUGGCACAAUGACUAGAGAAGGUUCCAGUGGCAAUAGAGAUCACAUAAUCCAGGAGGUAGCUCAUGAACAGCAAAUAGUUCCUUGUGUUUCUAUUAGCAACACUACUGAGGUUACUUGCCUUACAGAUGAGCUCAAUGUAGAGGACUAUCAGGGAAAACUAGAUUCUAGUAACGGACCAGGGACAUCUUUAGCAAAUUUCCAGAUGAAUAAGUUGCAAGACGAUGUUCCUCAUUCACCAGGAUUUCAGGUACAAACUGAAACUCUGCUCAUUGGUCCAGAGACCCUUGGGGUAGCUCCCUAUGAAGAAGAGCCUUUCAUACAGGAAGUCUUCCCUUGUGACAACCUGGCCAAGUCUUUUUCACAUGAUAACCAUUUGACUAAAAAGCUCAACAAUUUAGACAGUUGUACUAACUACCACCACAAUGAAAGAUUUACGAGUGACCCUUUGAACUUGCCAUUAGAAAAGGCUCUUGAUGACACCUUAACACAGAUCCUGGAGGCAACCUCGCCCUCUGUGGAGCAAGGGUAUACAGGGCACCUCCAGAGCCUAGAGACAGAUAAAGAGGAAGACAAAUCAAUGUUGGGCUCUUCAGUAGAAAUGUUUUCAGGGUUUGUGACAAAAGUGAAAUCUUUCUCUGAGUGCUUAAUUGAACCUCCCAAAACUUUCUCUGGACUUUUCUCCUCUCCUAAACCUCCAACAAAAAACUCCUUUUUCUCUCUUUCUUCUCGUGCAUCAUCUCAGUCCCUCAAAGGUGAGUUACUUGGAAUUUUUAAAAGUCCCAAAUCAGAGACUCACAAACAAGAAUCGCCGAUCCCAGCUACUGCAUGGCCUCAAAAUGGUAGUUGCAGAGAUACUGUAGGAUUAGUACCUCCAGGAAAUUUAUGGGGAGAAACUUCCUCUCCAGCACUCAAUUCAGAAUCUACUCUCAGUGAGUGUAGAAUGACUGUGGUUAGUGCAAAGUCAGACUCAGAGAUCCUGAUAGAUGAUACUAAAUUAACAGCUGAAAUAGAAAACAAUAAUAUUCCUGACAAUAUUCUAGAAUCCCAAGAUUCUGAAACAAUUAGGGCUGCACCUUCUGUUUCAGAGGAUGAUACUGGACAAGGAGUAUUGUCUCUGAGUGAUGAAGGAGACAUGGGGUUGUUGCAGGGCACAGACACAGAGACAUCAUUGGAAGCAGAGCACAUUUCAUUGCCAUCACAGUUGGAUCCAGAUCCUACCUGUGUGGCCAAAGAGCUUCCUCCUCCAUUUCAGCCACCUAGUCCUCUUGAGCCAGAGCCAGCUAUGCAAUCUACCUCCACAAACCAAGACUUCUUGGAGCUACAGGCAGCCAAUUCAGUAGAAACCAAUACUCCACUAUUUAGUGAGGCAAAUGUUGGCCAGAGUGCCACACCAGAAACCCCAGGAUACCUUUCUCAACCACUCCUGGAGGAACCUGUGCUUUGUGCGAGAAAAAACUGUGAGAUACUUGAUACCCACAAAGAUCUACCUGCAGUCCCCCAAGAAACAGAGCAGCCAAGACCUCUUUUUGAGAUCCCAAAUAUGAGCAAUUGGCCAAAACUCCAUUUCCCAUCCUCUGCCACUGACUGUGGGAAACCACUGAGGUCUUUCUUUUCCCCACCUUCCUCCUCUGGCAGUAGAGCAGCAGAGCCUGGUUUAAUGGGCAGUUUUAAGAAGUUGUCAAAUCUAUUUGAGGGAGGUAGUGAGGGGAAAGGGAGUACACUGGCAGGUGAUCUAAAACUAAGGUUUGGAAAGAAGCUGGAUCUUUCAUUCACAUGGCCAAAAGAGAACAAAGCGGGCCCUGAACAAAUCCCUGCAGAAUCCUCUUCUCCAGUUUUGGUUAUCAGCGGCGAUCAGGAUCUUAACUCUAGUGAGGCUGACAAAACUUUAGAGGCUUCUCAAAUAGCUGGAGCUAGUGCUGAGCCAGCUACUCAGCCCUCUGGGACCUCUGAGCAGCUGGAGACCAAGCCAAGUAUAUAUACUCAAGAGCUUUCAGGGCCUGGAGAAAUGGAAAACCAGCAGGGAAUUUCAGCAUCUGGAGAGCACUGGGGUUCCAAAAGCAACCUCUCGACCUCCACCUGUACUUCAGGGAGUCAUAAGGAAGAACACUGCACUGUCACUGAGCUGCUUCACCAGCCAAAAACACAAGAGGAGGUGAUGCCUGCUAGCUCUGAGUCUCUUUCAGAUGUGCAGCAGCCAGUCACUUUGCAUGGCAUCAAGGAACCAGAGACCGACAAAGGGCCUGUUCUCAUUGAGCUACUUCACCAGCUAGAAAGACAAGAAGAGGAGGUGGUGCCUGCUAGCGCUGAGGCUCUUUCAGAUGUGCAGCAGCCAGUCACUCUGCAUGACAUCAAGGAACCAAAGACCAACACAAGCCCCACCAGCAGUAGUAGGUAUGGCUCCUCCUGUAAUGUGAGUCAAGGAAGCUCUCAGUUGAGUGAACUAGACCAAUGCCAUGAACAAGAUGAUGACCGUCGGGAGAGGGACUCGAUUCAUUCAUGCCACAGCUCUGGCAGCUUCUCCAGAGAUGGCCAAGUGGGCUUUGGAGAACAAGAGAAAGCCUUGGAGGUGACAGGUGAAGAGGAGAAGGGGACAGCAUGUGAACCCAAGGAGAGGAAAGAAGAUGCCACAAUCCAUCCUCCCCCAGAUCUGGUGCUACACGAAGACCGUGUCCUAGGCCCCCAGGAGAGCUUUCCUGAGGAGAAGGCUUCUUCACCGUUUACCCAAGCCAGAGCGCACUGGAUCCGAGCAGUUACCAAGGUUCGACUCCAGUUGCAGGAGAUUCCAGAUGAUGGUAACCCCUCUCUGCCCCAGUGGCUCCCAGGAGGGCCAGCUGGAGGGCUCUAUGGCAUUGACAGCAUGCCAGAUCUACGUAGAAAGAAGCCACUGCCACUUGUCAGUGAUCUGUCAUUGGUCCAGUCCCGGAAGGCAGGGAUUACUUCUGCAAUGGCUACACGCACAUCUCUCAAAGAUGAAGAGCUGAAAUCCCAUGUGUAUAAGAAAACCCUGCAGGCCUUAAUCUACCCCAUCUCGUGUACCACACCCCACAACUUUGAGGUCUGGACGGCCACUACCCCUACCUACUGCUAUGAGUGUGAAGGUCUGCUCUGGGGCAUUGCCCGGCAGGGCAUGCGCUGCAGUGAGUGUGGAGUCAAGUGCCAUGAGAAGUGCCAGGAUCUGCUCAACGCUGACUGCCUGCAACGGGCUGCAGAAAAGAGUUCUAAACAUGGAGCUGAGGACAGGACCCAGAACAUAAUCAUGGCCAUGAAGGACCGCAUGAAGAUCCGAGAGCGGAAUAAGCCAGAGAUCUUUGAAGUUAUCCGGGAUGUCUUUACUGUGAGCAAAGUUGCCCAUGUGCAACAGAUGAAAACAGUGAAGCAGAGUGUACUGGAUGGCACCUCCAAAUGGUCGGCCAAGAUUACCAUCACUGUGGUGUGUGCCCAGGGCCUACAAGCCAAGGACAAGACAGGAUCCAGUGACCCUUACGUGACUGUGCAAGUGGGCAAAACCAAGAAGCGUACCAAGACUAUUUUUGGGAAUCUGAACCCUGUUUGGGAAGAGAAGUUCCAUUUUGAGUGCCACAACUCUUCUGACCGCAUCAAGGUACGUGUAUGGGAUGAAGAUGAUGACAUCAAGUCAAGAGUAAAACAGCGGCUUAAACGAGAGUCUGAUGAUUUCCUUGGUCAAACCAUUAUUGAGGUCCGGACACUGAGUGGCGAGAUGGACGUCUGGUACAACUUGGAGAAGAGGACAGAUAAAUCAGCUGUCUCAGGGGCUAUCCGACUACAAAUCAGUGUGGAGAUCAAGGGGGAGGAGAAGGUAGCACCGUAUCAUGUGCAAUAUACGUGUCUCCAUGAGAACCUUUUCCAUUACCUCACAGACAUUCAGGGUAGUGGAGGAGUCCUGAUUCCUGAGGCUCGAGGAGAUGAUGCAUGGAAGGUGUACUUUGAUGAGACUGCCCAAGAAAUUGUGGAUGAAUUUGCCAUGCGCUAUGGCAUCGAGUCCAUAUAUCAGGCCAUGACGCACUUUGCAUGUUUGUCAUCCAAGUACAUGUGUCCUGGUGUGCCAGCAGUGAUGAGCACCUUACUGGCCAACAUCAAUGCCUACUAUGCCCACACAACCGCCUCCACCAAUGUCUCUGCAUCUGAUCGCUUUGCAGCUUCCAACUUUGGGAAAGAGAGAUUUGUAAAACUACUGGACCAGCUGCACAACUCACUGAGAAUUGACCUCUCUACCUACAGGAAUAAUUUCCCUGCUGGAAGCCCUGAGCGGCUUCAGGACUUGAAGUCAACAGUGGAUUUGCUGACCAGCAUUACUUUCUUCAGAAUGAAGGUGCAAGAACUGCAGAGUCCUCCAAGAGCCAGCCAGGUGGUAAAAGAUUGUGUGAAGGCCUGUUUGAACUCCACAUAUGAGUAUAUCUUCAACAACUGCCAUGACUUGUACAGUCACCAGUACCAGCUGAAACAGGAGCUACCUCCAGAGGAACAAGGACCCAGCAUUCGGAACCUGGAUUUUUGGCCCAAACUCAUCACACUCAUUGUGUCAAUCAUAGAGGAAGAUAAGAAUUCCUACACACUCGUUCUGAACCAGUUUCCUCAGGAGUUGAAUGUGGGAAAAGUCAGCGCAGAAGUGAUGUGGCAGCUCUUUGCCCAAGACAUGAAAUAUGCACUGGAGGGUGGUUUGAGCAGUUUGUCCUGCAGUGGCUGGAUGAGAAUGAAGAUGUGUCCCUGGAAUUCCUACGUGGGGCCCUGGAACGAGAUAAGAAGGAUGGGUUCCAGCAGACAUCAGAGCAUGCGCUCUUUUCUUGCUCUGUGGUGGACGUCUUCACACAGCUCAACCAGAGCUUUGAGAUCAUCCGGAAGCUGGAAUGCCCAGACCCCAACAUCCUAGCCCACUACAUGAGGAGAUUUGCUAAGACCAUCGGGAAGGUGCUGAUGCAGUAUGCAGACAUCUUAUCAAAGAGCUUCCCAGAUUAUUGCAAAAAGGAGAAAAUGCCCUGCGUCCUGAUGAACAACAUGCAGCAACUGAGAGUCCAGCUGGAGAAAAUGUUUGAGG